Molecule: ribosomal RNA, 496 nt
Filed under: uncultured bacterium
Lineage: Bacteria
Description: bacterial SSU rRNA
Rfam family: Bacterial small subunit ribosomal RNA
Source: RNAcentral
AGAGUUUGAUUCUGGCUCAGGACGAACGCUGGCGGCACGCUUAACACAUGCAAGUCGAACGGAGAUAAAGGAGCUUGCUUCUUUAUCUUAGUGGCGGACGGGUGAGUAACACGUGAGCAACCUACCUUCAAGCGGGGAAUAAUGGAGGGAAACUUCCACUAAUACCCCAUAAGAUAGUAUUUCCGCAUGGAGAAGCUAUCAAAGAUUUAUUGUUUGAAGAUGGGCUCGCGUCCGAUUAGCCAGUUGGUGAGGUAACGGCCCACCAAAGCGACGAUCGGUAGCCGUACUGAGAGGUAGAACGGCCACAUUGGGACUGAGACACGGCCCAGACUCCUACGGGAAGCAGCAGUGGGGAAUAUUGCACAAUGGGGGAAACCCUGAUGCAGCCGACGCCGCGUGAGUGAAGAAGUAUUUCGGUAUGUAAAGCUCUAUCAGCAGGGAAGAAGAUGACGGUACCUGCACAAGAAGCCCCGGCUAACUACGUGCCAGCCGCCGC